Olea europaea var. sylvestris is the source of this 2388-nucleotide long non-coding RNA. RefSeq lists it as uncharacterized. The transcript has 2 exons. The record is from RefSeq and is a predicted model, not a curated record. Lineage: Eukaryota; Viridiplantae; Streptophyta; Magnoliopsida; Lamiales; Oleaceae.
UGAUAAAUUGUUCAUAUUUCAGUGUCUAAUUGAGGGAGAAUUACGAGCUUGACAAACGAGUUUAACUCGGCUGCUCCGAUUCCAACGACAGGGCACCCACCCAGUAGUGCUACAACCCCAACUAGCACUAUUUAUAAAAGGUGGACUCUUUUGUCAGGCUUGUCAUUCUCCUUUGUUGGCAUUGAACGACAACGGCCGGUGACCGGAUCCCCAUGGGACUGAGUCCGACAGCAAUUUGAUCCGCGACUAGCUGGCCUUUGGAGAUGGUAUCCGGGAACUAAGGAAACCCUAAUUAUUUAUCUUAAUCAUUAUACCGCAACGGUGAUAUUACAGGCUUGCAUGGGCAGGAAAAAAAGAAGCUAUUUUUGCAUUCUACCGAGGCCAGUUAAAUGACUGUCUGUGGUAGGGGACACUUGUUAAGUCUUAACUCUUAAUAAUUCCACCAUAUCUAUAAAUUUUUCUCUUACAUAUCUGUUACAGUGGCAUAUGUACACACUUGCAACUGUGUGCUGGCUUCUUUUCCCUGCUAUUUAACAAUUAUCGUUGGACACUUGUUCGUAAAAGUAUUGUAUUCCAGGAUGUUAGAAAACGUGAAAGAGAAUUACACAUAAGCACACAGUUAAUGCAUGACGGUGUAAGAUUUUAAUAUGCAUGGUGAUAUUGGAGUCUUAUAAAAUUUGCUGUUGGGUGGUUUUCAGUACUCGCCUUUCUAUGUACAGAGUUGUUUUAACUAAUUUGGCAAUGAGCCUUAUACAGCAUGAUAGCUCUCUUUCGCUGGAAUUUACACUUGAUCUGUGUUUUGUAGUUCUUGCUCAUCUAAAGCAUUGAAAAUUCUUGAUGAUUGAUAUCUCUUUUCCGUUAGAUACUUGAUAUUCUUCUCCUAGUUCCAUUUUCUAAUAACACUUGCUACUCUAGUUUUCUGCAUAUGUGCUUUCAUUAUCUGCAUACAAUUGGAAGCCCUCCUAUAAUUCAAUCCUAGGCUUACUAUUGCACGUUCUUCAGGGCAGAUGAGGUUUGCACUUCUUGAUCUUUCAUUUUAGACCUUUUCUCAACCUGCCUCAGCUUUUAGAGCUGAUUUAUUUUUCAUAGCCCAGAAAGUUUAAGAUUUUGGAAUAUUUUAAACACAGCCAAUCCUUCGAAACUGGAAAAGAAUUGGAGAUUAUAGAAAGCGUAGUUAAAAGCCCAUACCUGCUCUAGUCCUCUACUCCUACAGCUGAAGUUGAACCCCUCGAAUUGAUGUUGCAAUUUUUUGGAGGUUGAUGACAAAUGGCGGGUAACAUGUGAUUUGUAACUUCUUGCAUUUUCUCUUUCUUUUUCUUCCUUUUGUUGUCUGUGGGUUCAUAUUUCCUUUUGGAGUCUUAAAAGUACUGAAAAAUCUAGCAAUUGGUUAUUUUGUGUUUGUAGUUUCAGUUGUGGAUAAAUGGCCUUGUCAUGUGAUAGCUAAUUGGUCCAUCGAUUUUGCGCUACUAAUUGCGUAUUAGACUUUUGAUAUUGUUGAUAUGUUUUACUAUGGGUUUUUUAGAUGGUUUAUCGUUUACGAAUAUGAUUUUUGUUCUUCGAUACAUUUUUCAGAUUUUUCUGGUGGUUCAUAUAAGGUGGCCAAGCCUCGCAUAGAAUAAAUGCCUCCAUACCCAAUUUAACCUUUUUAAACGCUGUUACACCCAUUUAUUAGUUAUCCAUUUACCUACUAGGGGAGUGUUUGAUAGUUAUUUUUGUGUAAAAAUGGAUUUUAGAAUAGCAAAUUAAUGUGAAAUGUGUGGUUGAAAAAUAAGGAAAAAAUUUUAAUUUGUGUGUAAUAUUAUUUUAAUAAAAAAUGUGUGGUUGAAAAGAAGAGAGAAAAAUGCAUUUUGAAAAAAAAAAAUGGCUACCAAAUGAGCCUUAGAUAAGAUAUGCUUCCAUAACAUUUGCCAUGUAAGGAAGAAUUAAUGUGCAGGGAAUGGUUUUAGAGCUCGUUACGAGUUUCCUUUUAGUAUCUUUGCUAUUUCGGUAACAAGGUUCCUCAAGUAUGCUUCUUUGACAUUCUUGUUUUGUAGGACUCGUUCAUUGACCUUCAUCAGAUGUGAAGAUUGUGUGGGUAAGUUAAAAUGAUUUCUUGUGCCAGUGGAUGGAUUCUUUAUUGAUCAUCGCUUUUUGUGCAAUGGGUUUGUUACCAAUGUUUGGCUUCCAUUUUUUGAAAUGAAAAUGGAUAGAAUAGGGGUUAUUUAUUUUUAUUUUUUUCCUGAAAAAUGAGUGGUAAAAAAAGAAGGAAAAACUUUUGGUUUACGUAUAAUAUUAUUUUAUGGAAGAUUAUGUGAUUGAAAAUAGGAUUGUAAAUGAAUCUGAUAUUAAUCGAAUUUGCUCAAAUUCGAUCUGAUUCGAUAAUCAAAGGAUAUUAGAAUGUUAAAUCAA